RNAcentral lists this ribosomal RNA (460 nucleotides) under uncultured bacterium. Its description in RNAcentral is "partial 16S ribosomal RNA". It matches the Rfam family "Bacterial small subunit ribosomal RNA", at positions 338 to 795 of the family's 1533-position model. The record is from RNAcentral.
CCUACGGGAGGCAGCAGUGAGGAAUAUUGGUCAAUGGGCGCUAGCCUGAACCAGCCAAGUAGCGUGAAGGAUGACUGCCCUAUGGGUUGUAAACUUCUUUUAUAUGGGAAUAAAGUGCAGUAUGUAUACUGCUUUGCAUGUACCUUAUGAAUAAGGAUCGGCUAACUCCGUGCCAGCAGCCGCGGUAAUACGGAGGAUCCGAGCGUUAUCCGGAUUUAUUGGGUUUAAAGGGAGCGUAGGCGGGUUGUUAAGUCAGGUGUGAAAGUUUGGGGCUCAACCGUAAAAUUGCAGUUGAUACUGGCAGCCUUGAGUACAGUAGAGGUAGGCGGAAUUCGUGGUGUAGCGGUGAAAUGCUUAGAUAUCACGAAGAACUCCGAUUGCGAAGGCAGCCUGCUGGACUGUAACUGACGCUGAUGCUCGAAAGUGUGGGUAUCAAACAGGAUUAGAUACCCUGGUAGUC